UUCGAAUCCUUGGUUCUUAUUCCAGCAACAGCGUGGAGGUGGGCAAUGUGCAUUGACAUACUUCAUCUUCAUUUCUUUUUAUGUUCAUGGGAAUCUUCAUAGCACAUUGAUCUGAUGCUUUCUAUAAGUCUAUUAUAAAAUGUUGAUGGGAUUUUGUGGGUCUUCCUGAUACUAGACAGAUCUUCUGAAAUUUAGUUAUUCUUUUUUGGUUUGUUUACAAGAUAAAAACCAUCUGAGUGUCUGGGGCCCAAGGCCUAAAAACCUCAACAUCAGGGAACUGUAGUAGUCACCGCUCACCAUGUCCUUUUCUUCUUCUUGUCCUUGUUCUUAUUUUUUCUUUUUUUCCAGCAAAAAUUGGUUACUUUGCUUCUGUCACCUAUUGAAAGAACUGACUCUUGAUAGCAGGAAUGAACCAAAGAAUCUUUUGAUUGUUUUAAGACAAAAAACCUUGAAUGAUUACAGCUAAGACUACAACAAAGUGAAAAGAUUUUGCAAAGCCCAGAUAAGAUAACACUGAAAUCAAUAUCACUAAACAUUUUCAGUAAUUCCCUCUAUCACAAAGCUUUCUGUGAACCUCUCCACUGAAAUAAAUCCUUUUAUCUUUAGUACCUCUCUCACCUUACCUGUACCUCUCUUCUAAGACUGAUUUCAUUCUGGUUGACUGUAUAGGCUUUGGGCUGUGUUUUAUUCAUCUCCAUAUUCUGGUACCUAGUAUAGAGCUAAGAGGUACAUAGCACAUGUUAAGUUAGCACAUGACUACAAAGUUUUAGGCCUUUAGCACAUGUUAAGUUAGCACACGACUACAAAGUUUUAGGCAUUUAGGCCUCACUUACACAAUAAAUAUUUACUGAGUAUCUACUCAGUACCAAGCACAGUUCUGGGCACUGGGAUAUACUGUGAUAAGUAGGACUGUCGAAGUCUCUGCCCUCAUGGAGCUUUCACUCUAGUGGGAGAGACUGAUAAUACACAAAUAAUAUGGAAUAUAAUGUCAGGCAGUGAAAUGGCAAUGGAGAAAUAAGGAUAAGAGGAUAAAGAGGAUGGGUGGGAUGAAGGUAGAGCACUAUUUUGUGAGAACUCAGAGAUGACAAAGGGGUAAAUGAAGCCAUGAAAAUAUCUGAGGAAGGAGCACUCUAGGCAGAGGGAAUAACAUGAGUGGAAGAGCAAGAAGGCCAAUGUGACCAACAGGAAUGCUCAGAGAGGAGGUUGAGACCAACAGAACGGGAUCAUAUGGGAUCUUGUAGGUCAUACAAUAGUAUAUUUUUAGUAUGGUGGGAAACCAAUGGAGGGUUUGGACAAGCAAUGCACAUGAUAAGGAAGUUCAUUUUAAAAAGGUUGUCCUGAUUGCAAUAUUCAGAAUGGAUUAUAGUGGGAUACAAGUGGAUGCAACAAAACAGAUUUGGGGAAAGUAACUUCAGUCUAAGUUGAUUAGAGUAUAUGUGAUUAGGGUGGUUAACAGUGGUUAGAUUCCCAAUACAGUUUGGAGUUCAAAUUAUCAGGGCUUAUUUUGACCUAUUAAAAUUCUCCUAGAAGGUAUGCACUUUACAGAAGUUACACUGAAGUGAAGGCUGAUACUUGACUGGUCAGGCUAUAAUCUAACACUGUGGUUCUCAAAUUUCUUGGUUCCAAGACUAUACUCAAAUAUUAUUGAAGAUCCCAGAGAGUUUUUUUUUAUGUGGAUUAGAUCUACUGAUAAAUAUAUAUUUUUAACAUAUUGGUUGAUUCAUUUAAAACCAACAAUAAUAAACUUAAUAAACCAAUUAUAUGUUAACAGAAAUAACAUAAUUUUGUGAAAACUAUUUUUUAAAACAAAAACAUUAGUGAACAUAAUGGUAUUGCUUUACAGUUUUGCUAAUUUCUUUAAUAUCAGAAGACAGCUGGAUUCUCAUUUCUGCUUCUGCAUUCAGUCUAUUGUGAUAUAGCAUAUCAUGUAACUUCUGAAAAACUUCACUGUACACAGAUGCUGACCUCACAGACUCCCUGAAAGGAUCUCCAUGACCUCUAUGGUUCCUUAGACUGCACUUUGAGAACUAUUGACGUACAGGGAAAAAUGCUCUUGGUGUUCCAGUUAAGCACAGAAUAAAAUCUGGACUGUGUCAGUUUGUAAAGAUCUUAUGUCUACUUGGUCAUCAGCCAAGAAGGGAUUCCGAAGAUAGAAGAGGAGGCAUCAACACCGUGAACAUCAUGGCUGAGUUAUUUUGUGAGAGGGAUAAGCCUAAAGUAAAAACCUUGGAUUUGCCUCUGUCCUUGAACAUGCUAUCUGGAAAGAGUUUUCUUAAAAGUAUUGUUGUGAACACAUCCAUUUUCCCAGUAUAGUUGAAUGCAGGGUUUAAUAAAUGGAAUGAAUCUAGUUUUAGUUCCUGUACUGCUU
This 2368-nucleotide long non-coding RNA is filed under the name Homo sapiens (human). RNAcentral describes it as "HSALNT0009129". Lineage: Eukaryota; Metazoa; Chordata; Mammalia; Primates; Hominidae. The record is from RNAcentral.